GUUGUAAACUAUAGCAAGCAAUCCCACGGUUGGGCUUCGGCCUGGCUGUGGGUAAAAUGGAUAACCAUGGUAAUUCUGAGGCUAAUACAAGAACGUACUCCCUGGCUGACCGGCAACGGAAGGCUGGGGAGCGUGCAACGUAUCGUAAGACAAACCGGGAAUGGGUGCACGCUUGGACCGCGCUAAAAACAGAUCUUGGUGAACCUUCGGGUAAGCUUUGGCCUGAGCGGCUCUUGCUGUGUGCUUCUGACCUAUCAACUAGAUGGCAGCGUAACGGACAUGCUAUGGUUACAACGGGUACAGAGGAUUAGGGUUCGAUCCUGGAGAGUGGGCCUGAGAGAUU
This 343-nucleotide ribosomal RNA is filed under the name Polyschismium chailletii. RNAcentral's name for it is "bacterial SSU rRNA". It matches the Rfam family "Eukaryotic small subunit ribosomal RNA", at positions 109 to 405 of the family's 1831-position model. Lineage: Eukaryota; Evosea; Eumycetozoa; Physariida; Didymiaceae. The record is from RNAcentral.